UACGGGGGGUGCAAGCGUUAUCCGGAUUCACUGGGUUUAAAGGGUGCGUAGGUGGGUUGGUAAGUCAGUGGUGAAAUCCCCGAGCUUAACUUGGGAACUGCCAUUGAUACUAUCAGUCUUGAAUAUUGUGGAGGUUAGCGGAAUAUGUCAUGUAGCGGUGAAAUGCUUAGAUAUGACAUAGAACACCAAUUGCGAAGGCAGCUGGCUACGCAUAUAUUGACACUGAGGCACGAAAGCGUGGGGAUCAAACAGG
RNAcentral lists this ribosomal RNA (253 nucleotides) under uncultured bacterium. RNAcentral's name for it is "partial 16S ribosomal RNA". It matches the Rfam family "Bacterial small subunit ribosomal RNA", at positions 524 to 776 of the family's 1533-position model. The record is from RNAcentral.